CAGCAGCCGCGGUAAUACGAAGGGUGCAAGCGUUACUCGGAAUUACUGGGCGUAAAGCGCGCGUAGGUGGUGGUUUAAGUCCGUUGUGAAAGCCCUGGGCUCAACCUGGGAAUUGCAGUGGAUACUGGGUCACUAGAGUGUGGUAGAGGAUAGUGGAAUUUCCGGUGUAGCAGUGAAAUGCGUAGAGAUCGGAAGGAACAUCUGUGGCGAAGGCGACUAUCUGGGCCAACACUGACACUGAGGCACGAAAGCGUGGGGAGCAAACAGGAUUAGAUACCCCCGUAGUCCCUGUCUCUUAUAC
RNAcentral lists this ribosomal RNA (301 nucleotides) under uncultured bacterium. RNAcentral's name for it is "partial 16S ribosomal RNA". It matches the Rfam family "Bacterial small subunit ribosomal RNA", at positions 509 to 807 of the family's 1533-position model. The record is from RNAcentral.